This 929-nucleotide long non-coding RNA is filed under the name Pan paniscus (pygmy chimpanzee). RNAcentral's name for it is "lncRNA (ENSPPAG00000044727.1)". Lineage: Eukaryota; Metazoa; Chordata; Mammalia; Primates; Hominidae. The record is from RNAcentral.
AUGAGUUGGAGGAAAUGUUUGAUAAAAUUUUCCUGUAUUCUCAGUGGGUUCUCACUGACAGGCUGUUCAAGGAAAAUUCAACAAAAAUGCCUGCCAUACCACGAAGAGGCAAACAGCCAGAGGAAAGCACUGUCUUAGAACCUGGCUCACCUGAUUUUGCCGAUGAGUCAACUUUGAAGUGUGCCUCAUUCUGGAAAGUGAAUCACGUAAUCACAGUACCUCGCAUUAUCCUGACACGUCCUUCGGCUUCUGAGGAUACUGACCCAGUAUUUCAAGGCUGAGGUGACUCUGAGACAGAAGACGGAGCCAGUGGUGAUGUCCUCCCUUAUUCAGACUCUUUGAAUAAUGCUUUUUACUCACCUAUGGACUCUGCUAGAAAGACACUUUAAUAUUUUUGCCAUUUAUAUUUUUCUGUUGUUGAAAGAUAAUAGAAACCAGUGCCUUAGUUGGUUUAACAAUUCAACAAAGUUGUUUUCAAAAGAAGAAAGAAAAUGUAACUCCAUUUAGGUUGUCUUUCAUUUGCAAAUACUAACUGAAACUUGAGUUAGGGAUUGUCUAACUUGGAAAGAGUAUUAAUAAAAUGAAGUCAUUGGCAUAUUAAAAAUGUCCUAAUGUUCACUUUAAGUGUAUUUUUAAAAACCUCACAGGCAAUGGCAUGAAAGAAACCAAGGAGAUGUUUACAUUCAUUAGUUCCACUGGAAAAAAAUGGUUAAUGUAAUUGUAUAGAUUUUUCCCUUCUUGUUUUGUGUGCUGUAUAACCCAGUCUUUGCUUUAUGUACAAAUACCCUGGUUUCUAAAUGCUACUUAUUUUCUUCAGAAAUAAAGUAUGCUUUUAAUUUAGUGAGUAACUUUAUAUGUAUGUGCAUUUGUUUGGAAGAGAUAGUAAGUAAUAAUAAUUUAAUUCAUGUAGGGCAGCCUUUUCUUCUAAG